This 468-nucleotide ribosomal RNA is filed under the name uncultured bacterium. Its description in RNAcentral is "partial 16S ribosomal RNA". It matches the Rfam family "Bacterial small subunit ribosomal RNA", at positions 28 to 507 of the family's 1533-position model. The record is from RNAcentral.
GACGAACGCUGGCGGCGUGCUUAACACAUGCCAGUCGAACGGAAAGGCCCUGCUUUUGUGGGGUGCUCGAGUGGCGAACGGGUGAGUAACACGUGAGUAACCUGCCCUUGACUUUGGGAUAACUUCAGGAAACUGGGGCUAAUACCGGAUAGGAGCUCCUGCUGCAUGGUGGGGGUUGGAAAGUUUCGGCGGUUGGGGAUGGACUCGCGGCUUAUCAGCUUGUUGGUGGGGUAGUGGCUUACCAAGGCUUUGACGGGUAGCCGGCCUGAGAGGGUAACCGGCCACAUUGGGACUGAGAUGCGGCCCAGACUCCUACGGGAGGCAGCAGUGGGGAAUAUUGCACAAUGGGCGGAAGCCUGAUGCAGCAACGCCGCGUGCGGGAUGACGGCCUUCGGGUUGUAAACCGCUUUCGCCUGUGACGAAGCGUGAGUGACGGUAAUGGGUAAAGAAGCACCGGCUAACUACGUG